GAUGUUAUGAGUCAGUACCCUUACCAGA
This 28-nucleotide small RNA is filed under the name Bombyx mori (domestic silkworm). RNAcentral's name for it is "ovarian small RNA-16176". The record is from RNAcentral. Lineage: Eukaryota; Metazoa; Arthropoda; Insecta; Lepidoptera; Bombycidae.